GCUAAACAUAUGAGAAAAAAGGGUGAUGAGUGAAUGAUCAUAAAAAAUGAAAUAAUUGUUUUCACUAUAUAUUCUCUGUAAUCCUUUACACAGUUGGUAUUUCAUUGAAAAAAGAACUGAUAGAGGGCCUUGAGCUUGCCUUCGAUGUGGUCAUAAUCAGGUAUUUUCUUUGUGUGUGACAGGGUCUCAGUUCAUAGAUAUGAACAAAUCAUUGAAUGCUUCCCUGGAAGAGUUCGGUGGCUCACUAAGGGAUAUACCAUGGAAGGCAUUUUUUCAGACCCCAGCAGUAUGGGCAAUGAUAUAUGCUCAUUUUUGUGGAAGUUGGGGCCACUAUACUUGUCUAGCUUGGCUUCCUACAUUUUUUAGUGAGGAGCUGAAUCUAAAUUUGACAGAAGCUGCUUGGGUUUCAAUCCUUCCUCCUCUGGCUUCAAUUUUCGUAACAAGCACGGCAGCACAGUUAGCUGACAAUUUAAUUUCUAAUGGAGUUCAAACCACCAAGGUGCGGAAGAUUUGCCAAACAAUUGCUUUUAUGUCUCCUGCAGUCUGCAUGAUAUUAUCUUCUCUGGAUUUAGGAUUGCAACCUUGGGAAAUUGUGGGUAUUCUCACUGGUGGCUUGGCUCUCUCGAGUUUUGCCUUGUCAGGACUCUAUUGUACCCAUCAAGAUAUGUCACCUGAAUAUGCAAGUAUUCUUCUGGGUAUUACCAACACUGUUGGUGCAGUACCAGGAAUUAUUGGUGUUGCCCUCACUGGUUUUCUUCUCGAUUCAACUCAUUCAUGGAGUAUUUCACUUUUUGCACCGUCGAUAUUCUUCUACUUGACUGGUACAGUUGUAUGGUUGGCAUUUGCAAGCAGUAAGCCACAAGCGUUUUCCAAGAGAGACUGACCUUCUCUCCUUCUCUUUUUGGCUGGCUUUUCAUGGAGAUACUUUCUAAAGCUACCUAACUGCAGCCAGGGAGAACAAUACUGGGCAUAUGAACAAAUACAAUCGAAAAAGGACCAACAGUUAUUGGCAAUGUUGAAUUUACAUGAACAGGCUCCAAAGAAGGUUGAUCAGCAGAACUGUGAUCCCUUUCUGCAAGAUGAAAACGUAAUCAGAGCACUGGAAGAGAUAAUCCUUCUACUGAUUUAAGUUCAGAACUUAUUUUUUUAGUCCGAGAAGAUCGAGAUAGUGUUUGUUUAGUGUGCAAGUUACUAUAACAGUAUAACUUAAGAACUUGGUACAUGAUAGGAAUGUGCUGUAAAUAAGAAAAAAGUUUCUAUUGGUCGAAGUUCGGGAUAGACUUUGAUAACCGGGAGAAUACACUCAUCUAUUAUAUAUUUCAUCCA
Molecule: non-coding RNA, 1326 nt
Organism: Carica papaya (papaya)
Lineage: Eukaryota; Viridiplantae; Streptophyta; Magnoliopsida; Brassicales; Caricaceae
Source: RefSeq, a predicted model, not a curated record